This is a non-coding RNA of Flavobacterium hercynium, 78 nucleotides long. Lineage: Bacteria; Pseudomonadati; Bacteroidota; Flavobacteriia; Flavobacteriales; Flavobacteriaceae. The record is from Rfam.
UCCUAGCCCUGAUGGGAGGGAAAAUCCUUUUGUGCCGGGGUUCGGCAUAAAAGAUUUGGAAGGACAGCAGGAAUAAGC